ACUGCAGUCGAUCGAGCUGAAUUCUAGAUCCCUUCCGGGUGAUUUGUUGGACGCCCGCGGCGGAUGGGUGAGUAACACGUGGGCCAUCUGCCCUAACGACUGGGAUACCACUUGGAAACAGGUGCUAAUACCGGACAACAACAUGAAUCGCAUGAUUCAAGUUUGAAAGGCGGCGCAAGCUGUCACUUUAGGAUGAGCCCGCGGCGCAUUAGCUAGUUGGUGGGGUAAAGGCCUACCAAGGCAAUGAUGCGUAGCCCAGUUGAGAGACUGAUCGGCCACAUUGGGACUGAGACACGGCCCAAACUCCUACGGGAGGCAGCAGUAGGGAAUCUUCCACAAUGGACGCAAGUCUGAUGGAGCAACGCCGCGUGAGUGAAGAAGGUUUUCGGAUCGUAAAGCUCUGUUGUUGGUGAAGAAGGAUAGAGGCAGUAACUGGUCUUUAUUUGACGGUAAUCAACCAGAAAGUCACGGCUAACUACGUGCCAGCAGCCGCGGUAAUACGUAGGUGGCAAGCGUUGUCCGGAUUUAUUGGGCGUAAAGCGAGCGCAGGCGGAAUGAUAAGUCUGAUGUGAAAGCCCACGGCUCAACCGUGGAACUGCAUCGGAAACUGUCAUUCUUGAGUGCAGAAGAGGAGAGUGGAACUCCUG
Molecule: ribosomal RNA, 647 nt
Filed under: Lactobacillus delbrueckii
Lineage: Bacteria; Bacillati; Bacillota; Bacilli; Lactobacillales; Lactobacillaceae
Description: bacterial SSU rRNA
Rfam family: Bacterial small subunit ribosomal RNA
Source: RNAcentral